Long non-coding RNA from Canis lupus familiaris (dog), 2051 nucleotides. RefSeq lists it as uncharacterized. The record is from RefSeq and is a predicted model, not a curated record. The transcript has 3 exons. Lineage: Eukaryota; Metazoa; Chordata; Mammalia; Carnivora; Canidae.
UACUUCCAGGCAUACAGUAAUAAUGCAAUAAUUUUAUAACAUUUCUCAGUGCUCAUCGAGAUUAUAGUACUCUUAAUCCCCUUAAUCCAUUUCACCCACCCACCCUCACCUCCCUCUGGCAACUACUAGUUUGUUCUCUGCAUUUAAGAGUCUUUGUCUCUUUUGUUUGUUUUGUUUCAAAUUCCACAUAUGAGUGAAAUCGUAUGACAUUCAUCUUUCUCUAUCCAACUUAUUUCAUUUAGCAUCAUAUCCUCUAGGUCCAUCCAUGUUGUUACAAAUGGCAAGAUUCCGUUCUUUUUUUAUGACUGAAUAAGAUUCUAUUGUGGAUAUACCACAUCUCCUUCAUCCAUUCACCUGUAGAUGGACACUUGAGUUGCUUCCUUAUCUUGUCAGCCUGUUGACUUCUGACUUUUGGCUUCCAGAACUGUUAGGUAUCCUAGAAGUGGGAAGUGGACCAUAAAUAUAUAGAUAUGUUUUUGAUAGGAAGACCUUGAGGAGGUACUUUUCACAACAACCAUCCCCGUGACAGGAAGAUGUAUCUCCUGAUAUUACUUGUCUUCCUUAGUAGACUGAUACAUUUAUAUCAGCUUCUGAAUGCGUUAUAAUCUGGAUGAACGAAAAAGCAAAAUUCAAAACUGUGAUGUCUCAGCGUCCCCCCACACUUGUUUUCCCUAGGCCAGAGGUGGAGGAGAAAGAGCCACUGAGAAACUUUCAUGCUGGGCUAGAAAAAUAAUGGGUAGGAAUCAGCAUCAGGAGAACCAUAAAGGAGUCAAUUUACUUUUAGCUUCUUUUGAGUUUACUGUGUGUGGUGUUUGACUUAAGAUUUAUAAAAGCAACAAGUAGGAGGGAAAUGGAACUCUGCGAUCCUGUCGGUAGGAGGACAGACAAUGAGCGGCUCUGGGUUCCAACAGCAAAUCAAAGGGAGAGAACAAGGAUGUGGAUAUUUCCUCCUGUGCCUUUUAGAAAAGGAAGCUCCAGCACAAUGAAGCCCUGUUAGUUUCCUUUGGGAAGAGCUGGCUGGCUGCUGAGAAAGAAAAGCUCUACUUGCCAGAUGCUUUAUUCCCUAAGAAAAGAGAAACAGAGGGAGGCAGAUACACCUGAGUAGUCUGCUUCAGAGAGUAAAUAAAAAUUAAAGGAAGGAAUUACAAAAAAAAGAGAGGGAUUCAAAUAGGAAAGGGGAGGGGGGGCAAGACCUUAGCAAAAAUAGAGGUUUGAGGGUAGGUAACCAUCAUCUCAAAAUGAAGAGUUGUCACAAAGGCUGGAAGAAAGGUAAAUGGAGAACUCCAGAGUAGGGGAAAAAAAUCUUAAAAAUAGCAGGUAGGAGGAAGCACAGCUCUCCUUUUAUAAACAGAGGUUUUUAAAUUUGAAAGUCAGUCUUUGAGAGUACUUCUGGUUGCACAAAGAGAAGUGAAGCUGGAACUGGAGCAUUAAUUGAUGCUGUGACAAGGUCACUACUGGAGCGGGUAGUUACUAGAAUGAAUGCAUAUAUACCGGGAGAAAUGUUGGUAAAUUGUACAAACAAAAUGAGAGAAAAAAAAACGAAAAGUAUUUGACUACGGUCUUCUUAAGGUUUCUAGAAGAGGAGCCUGAGUACCUGGAGUUUUAUAUAAGCAUGUAAUGUGUUACUGUAUUGGAAAGGCACAUUUAAAAAGAGAAUUUCAAAAAAUAAAAAUAAAAUAAAAAGAGAAUUUCUUCGUGUUCUAAGUGAGUUGAUUUGAUCAGCCCAGGGUUAACAGCUGACACAAAAUUCCUGGAGACCUAUCUGUGGACAGAUGGAACCUCUGUAUUGUUCUACAUGUUUUUAUUGUAGCAUUUUUUUUUUCUCUCUCAUAGGAGAGGAAACUAGAUCUCUCAUGGAAGAUAAAGUAGCAGUGAUGUGUUAAUAAAUAGAUUUAAAGGCUCAGUAAAAUAAUUAACAAACUCAACAGAAAAAAAAAUCUGAUUUGUUCAGUGAUUUUGAAGCUACUCAAAUAAUUCAAAAAUUUUGAGAGGAAAAAAUGAAAAAGAGGGAAAAACCCGUGUGUUUGGUUCUGUUGCAGAACCAGCUUUGA